RNAcentral lists this ribosomal RNA (305 nucleotides) under uncultured bacterium. Its description in RNAcentral is "bacterial SSU rRNA". It matches the Rfam family "Bacterial small subunit ribosomal RNA", at positions 335 to 632 of the family's 1533-position model. The record is from RNAcentral.
GCGCCUACGGGGGGCAGCAGUAGGGAAUCUUCCACAAUGGGCGAAAGCCUGAUGGAGCAACGCCGCGUGGGUGAAGAAGGGCUUCGGAUCGUAAAACCCUGUUGGUAGAGAAGAAAGAGCGUGAGAGUAACUGUUCAUGUUUCGACGGUAUUUAACUAGAAAGCCACGGCUAACUACGUGCCAGCAGCCGCGGUAAUACGUAGGUGGCAAGCGUUAUCCGGAUUUAUUGGGCGUAAAGGGAACGCAGGCGGUCUUUUAAGUCUGAUGUGAAAGCCUUCGGCUUAACCGGGGUAGUGCAUUGGAAA